This 62-nucleotide transfer RNA is filed under the name Ampelopsis glandulosa. Its description in RNAcentral is "partial tRNA-Phe". The record is from RNAcentral. Lineage: Eukaryota; Viridiplantae; Streptophyta; Magnoliopsida; Vitales; Vitaceae.
UAUUUUUAAUUGACAUAGACCAAGUCAUCUAGUAAAAUGAGGAUGAUGCAUCGGGAAUACCC